RNAcentral lists this transfer RNA (91 nucleotides) under Candidatus Altimarinota bacterium. RNAcentral describes it as "tRNA-Ser". It matches the Rfam family "tRNA". From Rfam's summary of the family: Transfer RNA (tRNA) molecules are approximately 80 nucleotides in length. Their secondary structure includes four short double-helical elements and three loops (D, anti-codon, and T loops). The record is from RNAcentral. Lineage: Bacteria; Candidatus Altimarinota.
GGAAGGGUGGCUGAGUGGUUGAAAGCGCACGCCUGGAAAGUGUGUAAACGGUAUACCCGUUUCGCGAGUUCGAAUCUCGUCCCUUCCUCCA